GGCCGUGUGGUCUAGUAGUAUGAUACUCGCUUUGGGCUUGAACACAGUGAAUAACUGUGCUUAAAUUAUCUGAUUGCGAGUGGUCCAGGGUUCAAUUCCCUGCUCGGCCC
Molecule: transfer RNA, 110 nt
Filed under: Geotrichum candidum
Lineage: Eukaryota; Fungi; Ascomycota; Dipodascomycetes; Dipodascales; Dipodascaceae
Rfam family: tRNA
About the family: Transfer RNA (tRNA) molecules are approximately 80 nucleotides in length. Their secondary structure includes four short double-helical elements and three loops (D, anti-codon, and T loops). Further hydrogen bonds mediate the characteristic L-shaped molecular structure. tRNAs have two regions of fundamental functional importance: the anti-codon, which is responsible for specific mRNA codon recognition, and the 3' end, to which the tRNAs corresponding amino acid is attached (by aminoacyl-tRNA synthetases). tRNAs cope with the degeneracy of the genetic code in two manners: having more than one tRNA (with a specific anti-codon) for a particular amino acid; and 'wobble' base-pairing, i.e. permitting non-standard base-pairing at the 3rd anti-codon position.
Source: Rfam by way of RNAcentral